AAGUCGUAACAAGGUUUCCGUAGGUGAACCUGCGGAAGGAUCAUUAAUGAUUUUAGUUAUUUGUGAAUUUUACUACAAACAAAAAUUUAAUUUUAUAAUCAAAAAAAAAAAAAAAAUCAAAACUUUUAACAAUGGAUCUCUUGGUUCUC
This 149-nucleotide unclassified non-coding RNA is filed under the name fungal sp. RNAcentral's name for it is "partial internal transcribed spacer region". The stretch from base 1 to 46 matches the Rfam family "Eukaryotic small subunit ribosomal RNA", at positions 1786 to 1831 of the family's 1831-position model. Lineage: Eukaryota; Fungi. The record is from RNAcentral.